UACGUAGGGUGCAGGCGUUAAUCGGAAUUACUGGGCGUAAAGCGUGCGCAGGCGGCUUCUCAAGUCAGAUGUGAAAUCCCCGGGCUUAACCUGGGAACUGCGUUUGAAACUGGGAGGCUAGAGUGCGGCAGAGGGGGGUGGAAUUCCACGUGUAGCAGUGAAAUGCGUAGAUAUGCGGAGGAACACCGAUGGCGAAGGCAGUCCCCUGGGCCUGUACUGACGCUCAUGCACGAAAGCGUGGGGAGCAAACAGG
RNAcentral lists this ribosomal RNA (253 nucleotides) under uncultured bacterium. RNAcentral describes it as "partial 16S ribosomal RNA". It matches the Rfam family "Bacterial small subunit ribosomal RNA", at positions 524 to 776 of the family's 1533-position model. The record is from RNAcentral.